Molecule: ribosomal RNA, 221 nt
Filed under: uncultured bacterium
Lineage: Bacteria
Description: partial 16S ribosomal RNA
Rfam family: Bacterial small subunit ribosomal RNA
Source: RNAcentral
UACGUAGGGUGCGAGCGUUGUCCGGAAUUAUUGGGCGUAAAGAGCUCGUAGGCGGUGUGUCACGUCGGCCGUGAAAACCUGCAGCUUAACUGUGGGCGUGCGGUCGAUACGGGCAUCACUGGAGUUCGGCAGGGGAGACUGGAAUUCCUGGUGUAGCGGUGAAAUGCGCAGAUAUCAGGAGGAACACCGGUGGCGAAGGCGGGUCUCUGGGCCGAUACUGA